CACGUAGGGCGCAAGCGUUGUCCGGAAUUAUUGGGCGUAAAGAGCUCGUAGGCGGUCUGUUGCGUCCGCUGUGAAAACUCGGGGCUUAACCCCGAGCCUGCAGUGGAUACGGGCAGACUAGAGGUAGGUAGGGGAGAAUGGAAUUCCCGGUGUAGAGGUGAAAUUCGUAGAUAUCGGGAGGAACACCGGUGGCGAAGGCGGCGAUCUGGGUAGAUACUGACGCUGAGGUGCGAAAGCGUGGGGAGCAAACAGG
Molecule: ribosomal RNA, 253 nt
Filed under: uncultured bacterium
Lineage: Bacteria
Description: partial 16S ribosomal RNA
Rfam family: Bacterial small subunit ribosomal RNA
Source: RNAcentral